CCCGAACCGCCAUUUUGAAAAUCUUGUUGAUUCGGGGGAGCCGAGAGCGCGGCGCGAGCGUCACGCCAGAGAGCGGCCCGCGCGCCUCCUCCUCGGCGCUCGCCGCCGCCUCCCGGAGCCUCUUCGUGCCUUCGCGCGCCAGGCCCGCGGCGGCCGGCACCGGCGGUCGACAGCAUGUCCUCCUCGGGCCCAGCUGCAGAGGGAGAGGGAACCCCCGCCCAGCCCGCGUCCGAGAAAGAGCCCGAAAUGCCCGGCCCGAGAGAGGAAAGUGAAGAGGAGGACGAGGACGACGAGGAGGAGGAAGAGGAGGAGGAGGAAGAAAAAGAAAAGAGUCUGAUCGUGGAAGGCAAGAGGGAAAAGAAAAAAGUGGAGAGAUUGACCAUGCAAGUCUCUUCCUUACAGAGAGAGCCAUUUACAAUUGCACAAGGAAAAGGACAGAAACUUUGUGAAAUUGAAAGGAUACAUUUCUUCCUGAGUAAAAAGAAAACGGAUGAACUUAGAAAUCUACAUAAACUACUUUACAACAGGCCUGGCACAGUGUCCUCAUUAAAGAAGAAUGUGGGUCAGUUCAGUGGCUUUCCAUUUGAAAAAGGAAGUGUCCAAUAUAAAAAGAAGGAAGAAAUGUUGAAAAAGUUUAGAAAUGCCAUGUUAAAGAGCAUCUGCGAGGUUCUUGAUUUGGAGAGAUCAGGUGUAAAUAGCGAACUGGUGAAGAGGAUCUUGAAUUUUUUAAUGCAUCCAAAGCCUUCUGGCAAACCAUUGCCAAAAUCUAAGAAAACUUCUAGCAAAGGCAACAAAAAGGAACGGAACAGUUCUGGAAUGGCAAGGAAAGCUAAGCGAACCAAAUGUCCUGAAAUUCUGUCAGAUGAAUCCAGCAGCGAUGAAGAUGAAAAGAAAAACAAGGAAGAGUCUUCAGAUGAAGAAGAUAAAGAAAGCGAAGAAGAGCCACCAAAAAAGACCUCUAAAAGAGAAAAACCUAAACAGAAAGCCACUUCCAAAAGUAAGAAAACUGUAAAAAGCGCUAAUGUUAAGAAGGCAGAUAGCAGCACCACCAAGAAGAAUCAAAACAGUUCCAAAAAAGAAAGUGAAUCUGAGGACAGUUCAGAUGAUGAACCUUUAAUUAAAAAAUUGAAGAAACCUCCUACAGAUGAAGAGUUAAAGGAAACAGUGAAGAAAUUACUGGCCAGUGCCAACUUGGAGGAAGUCACAAUGAAGCAGAUUUGCAAGGAGGUCUCUAUGCUAAAGACAUAGUCACAUCUGCACAAAAUGAUUACAAUAAUGUUCAGCAUGUCUGUAAUAUUGAAAAAUCAGAAACAACCUAAAUGGCCAUCGAUAGGGAAAUGUUUAACAUGGUACGUCUGUAUUUUUGGAAUGCUAUGUAGCAGUUCAAAAGAACACGGAAAAACGUUCCAGGUAUAUGAAAAUUAUCCUGCUUAUGAUUUAACUGAAAGAAAAGAUUUCAUAAAAACAACUGUUAAAGAGCUGAUUUCUUGAGGCAGAGGAGAUAACUUGUCCCGUGGACGUCAGGAUCUGAUUUAUACCGUUAUACCAGCAAAGAGAAUGUAUUUCCUUUUCUACCCCUUGCAAGCGUUGUGUUAGUAGAACCUGUCGCUGAUCUUUUUAAGUAAAUUUGAGUUUGUUGUUUUAAAUUGCAUUUCUAUGCAGUUUUUAGUUUAAAAUUUUGCAUGGCAUUAAUUGUUCCUUGCUUUUAUAGCUGUAUUUUGUACAUUUUGGAUUUCUUUAUAUGAGAUCGUAGUUUUAGCGUGCUUAGUAUUCGCUUGUUUCAGACAUACUUUUAACGAAGUAGAAGAAACUACUAUUGACAUUUAUACAUGCAGAGACUAUGGCAGUAUUUAGUAGAUGAAAUAUUUUGAAUACACAUCUGACAGUGGCAGUGUGUUCAUCAUAUUAAAAAUAUACAGGCUUCAGCUUUCCAGAUGAUUAAAUUGGAAAAUUUCUGCUGCAUGUGUAUAUAUGUCAAAUCGUCAGCAUGACAAAAGUGACAGAUGUUAUUUUUGUAUUUUUAAAAACAACUUUGUUGUAUAUAAAGUUUUUUUAUUUCUUUUGUGCAGAUCAAUUUUUAAACUCCUGUAGGUAGGUAUCUUUACAGUUAUAAACUAUGAAAUGUCAGUGUUUGGCCAGAUGGUAUGUGACGGAGCAGCGAAAUCAGAAUUCAGUGGAGAAAACACUGAAGGAACAGGUCGUUCUCUGCUUUGCCUCAGAAGUGUCAAUUUGUAGUUUUAGUGUUAACUCUGCAAGUGUCUGUAGAUAACAUUUUAUGUUAAGGGUAGACCAAAUCAGAACUUCAAAAUUGGGGGAAGGGGAUUAAGUACAAGCACAUUUGGCUUCUGAUGAACUGAUUUUUAUUAACUGCUUUUACCCAUGUAAAAUGCGGAUAUUUACAGGAAACCUGGCCACCUUUAUAAUUAUGGUAAAUGUACCAAGUAUAAUGCUAGAAGAUAACGUGUAGGCAACAGUGGGUAUCUCCGACAAAGUAUUUCUCAAAAGUGAUAAAAAGACUUAUUUUUAACAUUAAAGAAGUUUAAUGUAUUCGUGGAAUCAGGACUUUUAGGUUUUAAAUUUUGGCCAAUCAGGAUUCUGGGUGAUCAACACACAGACCACUCCUGAAUUAGAUUGUUUCAUCUUUUACAUUGUUGUAAUCAGUUAUUAAAUAAUUUCUGAAUUUUAAAAACAUAACUGCUUAUGAGAGAAUUAGACCUUUGAUAAACCAGUUGAGUGUUUAAACGGAGAACAUGAAAUACAUAAAAAUGAUAAAUGUUGGCCGUUAGCAGGUACUUUCACAGGUCUGACGUGUUUCUUGAUAAAUACAAAUGAAUAAACAACUAAAUGAGACCUAAAAAUUGGCCGUUGAUUUUAAAUAUUUAAUUUGUUCCUAUAAACCUUGUCAAUAAAACUAAUAAAUCCA
Acinonyx jubatus (cheetah) is the source of this 2923-nucleotide RNA transcript. It is a transcript of the gene named DEK proto-oncogene, with no coding region annotated. The record is from RefSeq and is a predicted model, not a curated record. The transcript has 12 exons. NCBI's taxonomy places the organism in Eukaryota, Metazoa, Chordata, Mammalia, Carnivora, Felidae.